Molecule: ribosomal RNA, 253 nt
Filed under: uncultured bacterium
Lineage: Bacteria
Description: partial 16S ribosomal RNA
Rfam family: Bacterial small subunit ribosomal RNA
Source: RNAcentral
UACAGAGGUCCCGAGCGUUGUUCGGAUUCAUUGGGCGUAAAGGGCGCGUAGGCGGGCUGUCAAGUCUGGGGUGAAAUCCCACGGCUCAACCGUGGAACUGCCUUAGAUACUGACGGCCUCGAGGGAGAUAGGGGCGAGCGGAACUGUGAGUGGAGCGGUGAAAUGCGUUGAUAUUCACAGGAACUCCGGUGGCGAAGGCGGCUCGCUGGAUCUUUUCUGACGCUGAGGCGCGAAAGCUAGGGGAGCAAACAGG